Molecule: long non-coding RNA, 843 nt
Organism: Drosophila pseudoobscura
Lineage: Eukaryota; Metazoa; Arthropoda; Insecta; Diptera; Drosophilidae
Exons: 2
Source: RefSeq, a predicted model, not a curated record
UUAUAAGAAUAAAUUCAAUAAAGACAUUCUUAAAACCGAAGUCAAACGGCACAGACGUGCCAGUGUUAUAAUUGUAAUAUUGACAUAUUACAUGGCGACCGUGACAAGUGUCACGAACAUGUAGAACAUAUGUUAAAAUAAAUCACAUAAGAAAAAAAGCGGAGAGCGAGCGGCGAGAGCGGACAACAACAGCAGGCACCACUGGAAGCAGCAGGAAAUGGAGCGGAACUGAACGCACAAAGCCAAGGAAGACCUGCCCGAACGACUGCGAGGGACCUCUACACUCGCCGCAUUGCGAGUACACCUGUGCAGCCUGCACCGGUGCCCCAACAGAGAAGCAGUAGCAGCCUGUGCAGCCAGCACCGGCCUCGUCUAGCGCAACAAGCUAGACCCGGAGCAGUGAACCGACAGCGCUUCCUAGAGCGCCCACCGCCAAACAAAAUUUUUUUUAAAAAAUGCCUGCGAUGCAUACAACUUAACUGUAAGAUCUAAAAUUGUAAAAUUGAGCGGAAUAACAUCUGCCCAAUUAGAGUGAGGCCUGUAAAGCCACACAAACACUAGGCAGGAAGAAAUGUAAAAAAAAAAAAAACUGAAAAAAAUAUAUAUAAAUUAUAAAUGAAUUUCAACAAUUAACAAAGAAUCUAUACAGUAGUAUAAAAGAAAAAAAAAGGAAAUUUGUUUUUGUAUAUACAUAUGUCACGAACAAACAAAAUAAGUAAAUUUGAAGAAAAUUUAGAAAAUUUUUACACAAUGGGUUUAGUAGAUGUAAAAUCGGUAGAUUCGACAGCGAAUGUAAUAAACAAAGUCGAAGUCAAUAACACCGACCUAAAGCUAAUAACAAUA